GGGCGGUUAGCUCAGUGAUAGAGCGCGUCAUUGACAUUGACGAGGCCAUAGGUUUGAUCCCUAUACCGCCCACUA
This 75-nucleotide transfer RNA is filed under the name Candidatus Sungbacteria bacterium RIFCSPHIGHO2_02_FULL_49_20. RNAcentral describes it as "tRNA-Val". It matches the Rfam family "tRNA". Rfam says of the family: Transfer RNA (tRNA) molecules are approximately 80 nucleotides in length. Their secondary structure includes four short double-helical elements and three loops (D, anti-codon, and T loops). Further hydrogen bonds mediate the characteristic L-shaped molecular structure. tRNAs have two regions of fundamental functional importance: the anti-codon, which is responsible for specific mRNA codon recognition, and the 3' end, to which the tRNAs corresponding amino acid is attached (by aminoacyl-tRNA synthetases). tRNAs cope with the degeneracy of the genetic code in two manners: having more than one tRNA (with a specific anti-codon) for a particular amino acid; and 'wobble' base-pairing, i.e. permitting non-standard base-pairing at the 3rd anti-codon position. RNAcentral also lists the same sequence under 1 other name. Lineage: Bacteria; Candidatus Sungiibacteriota. The record is from RNAcentral.